AGUGAACGCUGGCGGUAGGCCUGACACAUGCAAGUCGAACGGCAGCACAGUAAGAGCUUGCUCUUACGGGUGGCGAGUGGCGGACGGGUGAGGAAUACAUCGGAAUCUACUUUUUCGUGGGGGAUAACGUAGGGAAACUUACGCUAAUACCGCAUACGACCUACGGGUGAAAGCAGGGGAUCUUCGGACCUUGCGCGAUUGAAUGAGCCGAUGUCGGAUUAGCUAGUUGGCGGGGUAAAGGCCCACCAAGGCGACGAUCCGUAGCUGGUCUGAGAGGAUGAUCAGCCACACUGGAACUGAGACACGGUCCAGACUCCUACGGGAGGCAGCAGUGGGGAAUAUUGGACAAUGGGCGCAAGCCUGAUCCAGCCAUACCGCGUGGGUGAAGAAGGCCUUCGGGUUGUAAAGCCCUUUUGUUGGGAAAGAAAAGCAGCAGGUUAAUACCCCGCCGUUCUGACGGUACCCAAAGAAUAAGCACCGGCUAACUUCGUG
This 492-nucleotide ribosomal RNA is filed under the name uncultured bacterium. Its description in RNAcentral is "partial 16S ribosomal RNA". It matches the Rfam family "Bacterial small subunit ribosomal RNA", at positions 29 to 507 of the family's 1533-position model. The record is from RNAcentral.